CAUGUGAUCACCCUCGCGCCCGACGCAGAGUCGCUGUAAUGAAUGCUCGGGAAGUUAUGGAGAGAAAGGAUACGAUCCCAGUGAUUAAUGCCAAAGCCCUGUUGCCUGGGGAGAGGGUGAUGUUUGACUUUCUUGUACAGCUGCAGUUUGUGUGGUGAAGGUGCUCCCACAAUGUGGUUGGAUCCCAGUGAUUAAUGCCAAAGCCCCAUUGCCUGUGGAGAGGGUGAUGUUUGACUUCCUUGUACAGCUGCAGUUUGUGUGGUGAAGGUGCUCCCACAAUGUGGUUGGGUGGACAUUCAGAUGGUAACCUCAGUAUUUGUAACACCAAACUCUGACAGAAUUACUCAAUUCAUCAGGACCUGGAUAUGUGCAUUUAGUUCUGAGAUGUUUAUGACAGGAAUAUGACAGGCUCCAUUGGACAUCAGCUCAGAAAAGGUGAUACUAGAAUAGAUGACACAUG
This is a long non-coding RNA of Hemiscyllium ocellatum (epaulette shark), 460 nucleotides long. RefSeq lists it as uncharacterized. NCBI's taxonomy places the organism in Eukaryota, Metazoa, Chordata, Chondrichthyes, Orectolobiformes, Hemiscylliidae. The transcript has 5 exons. The record is from RefSeq and is a predicted model, not a curated record.